GAUGAACGCUGGCGGCGUGCCUAAUACAUGCAAGUCGAGCGAACAGACGAGGAGCUUGCUCCUCUGACGUUAGCGGCGGACGGGUGAGUAACACGUGGAUAACCUACCUAUAAGACUGGGAUAACUUCGGGAAACCGGAGCUAAUACCGGAUAAUAUAUUGAACCGCAUGGUUCAAUAGUGAAAGACGGUUUUGCUGUCACUUAUAGAUGGAUCCGCGCCGCAUUAGCUAGUUGGUAAGGUAACGGCUUACCAAGGCAACGAUGCGUAGCCGACCUGAGGGGGUGAUCGGCAACACGGAAACUGAGACACGGUCCAGACUCCUACGGGAGGCAGCAGUAGGGAAUCUUCCGCAAGGGGCGAAAGCCUGACGGAGCAACGCCGCGUGAGUGAUGAAGGUCUUCGGAUCGUAAAACUCUGUUAUUAGGGAAGAACAAAUGUGUAAGUAACUAUGCACGUCUUGACGGUACCUAAGCAGAAAGCCACGGCUAACUACGG
This 496-nucleotide ribosomal RNA is filed under the name uncultured bacterium. RNAcentral's name for it is "partial 16S ribosomal RNA". It matches the Rfam family "Bacterial small subunit ribosomal RNA", at positions 28 to 506 of the family's 1533-position model. The record is from RNAcentral.